CCAAUUGAUGUUUCUCUGUUCGAAGAUGCCCCUUUUUUAGAUGAUGGUUUUGUUCGUUGCAAUACUAUCACUGGAAAUGACUUUCCAGAGCAGGGAAAGGGUGACAGUAAGGAAGAUGACAAUCCACCAUCUCAAGAACAAUCUAUCAACAAGUCUGCUGUACCUUCAGGGACUGGCUUUGUAGAACACAAACCCUCUCCGCCUGCAUCAGGUAGCCUUCUCAAUAUUCCGGAUGACGUAAUCAUUGAUAUUCUUAGUAGGCUUAGUGCCAAGUGUGCCUAUAAUUGCCAACGUGUGUGUAAAACAUUUUGUUCCCUCUUGUCAACCCCAUCUUUUGUUACCAUGCACCUUGAUCGGGCUACUCCAACCCUUGUUGUUCAGUGCAUCAGAGAACUUGGUAAAAGUAGCCCCUGGGCGCGGGUUAAUGUCCUCCAUUUCAUCAAUGGAUGUGAGGUGGUGGUGGCAUCAAGAUGGUAUAAGCAGCCUAACGAGUGGAAGCGAGACCUACUUGGUUCCUAUAACGGAUUACUUCUAUUUAAAAAUGUACCAUGUGGUGACCCUGCUUUCUUUAUUUGGAACCCUAUAACACGAGAAGAGGUAACCGUAAUUCCUCCAGAGGUAAGAUAUCAGGUAUGUGGAUUUUUUUUCCACACACCAACCGAGGAAUAUAGACUUCUUUAUAUUUGUAGUGGAUGGAGUAUUUCUAAGUAUUUGAUACUUUGCUUGCGGACCAAAUUGGUAAGAGAGAUUGCAAGCCCAACUGUGGUUCCCUGUAGAGAUACACCCCCUAUAAUGUUAAAUGGAGUACUGCAUUGGAUGGUUUCUGAAGAUCGAUGUGACAGUAAAUAUAAAAAUCCCCCUAGUUGUUCAAAGUCCAUCAUGACUUUCAAGAUGGAUAGUGAGGAAUUUGUUAUGAUGCCACACCCAGGAGAUGAAUGUGACCUAAGAAAUUAUCAUAAACACUUGCAGCUAUUGGAGAUGGAUGGACAUUUGUGUUUAUGCGAAAUUGUAUCAUCCACCAAACUAUAUCUAUGGGUACUAGAAGACUAUGAAAAGCAAUUAUGGAUUAAAGCACACAACGUUGACAUUAACCCAUUGAUUAGACGACACUUUUCAGGUGAUAGUACUCUUAAACCAUGGCUGGCUUUACAAGCUUUAUACAUCCACCAGGGCGAGAUGUUACUUCAAUGGAACUUGUUGGAAUUAUUUUAUUAUCAUCUGAAACUACAUACUUUUAGAAAAGUUGAAAAAGUUCACAUAAAAAAACUACGUAUAGCUUCUGUAGCCAUCCACAGGAAUAGCCUUGCCUCUCUGGAUACAGACUCUCUCAUUUUUAUGAAAGAUCUGUUGUAGCUGUUGUGAAUCCAUCUUUUCAUUUAGUUAUUAAGUUAUGUUUAGCUAGCAUGAACGAAGUUCUUAGAAAGGCUAUGUAUUCAGACAACGAUGUUUCUAGCUUAACUUGUGUGAGCAGUUUUUGUUCAUCUAAAGGCGCAAACUAUUAUUUUUUGCUAGCGGCAGAGAUAUGGCUUAGUUUUGUUGAUACUUGUCAUCACGCAAUAUUGUUAUACCUAUCUAAACUACUAUGAUACUAUCAUACUACCUGUAUAGAGGCAGUUAAUUUCAAAUUUUUUAGUUGUGCGUCAUUGUAGUUGUAGAAAUCUAGUUUAUGUUUGGGUGUGAUUUAGAUGUUGGUGAUUUUUUUCAUGUUCUAGCAACAUUGAUCAUUGAUAUGCAACAUCACUUAGUCAAUUCCAUCAGAGACCAAAAUAAGAACAAAACUUUGUCUAAUUUUAGAUUCAGAUUUUAUCAUGAAUUUCUUUUAAGAAACUACAAAGAACCACUUACACCUCGUCACCUCUGAAUUAACAUGUGCAAUUUUUUCCUUUUUUUUUUCUUUCCGAUUUGGCCUCAAGUCUUGGUAGUAGUAGAGAAAGAGGUUGAGAUGAGGACUCGUGAGGGGAAGAGGAGAACCAGAGAAAGACCAGAAGCGUUGUUUAUUUUUUUUUAUUUUUAAUUAGUUAUUAAAGUUGCUUCCUCGAGAUUUGCAUUAAUCUAAGAGUUCUGGGUGUUUACCGUAUCCGGUUAAGUGGAUUGUAUCUGCGCUCAAUAAUUUAAGAGGUUUGUGCAAUUUACAGACGGGACUUGACACCAUGAAUUCCAUCUUCAGCCAAAUUGAAAGUUCAAUCUCAGAGUCAGAGCAUCUCCAAAUGUAAAUGUUAUUCAAAGUUACUCCUUCAGGUACUGUUUAAAAUAGUUAAGUCAUAUAUUCUACACAAAGAAAUAUGCAAAAUAUACAUCAUCUUCAAUCUUACUAAUACCAUUUUAACAUGUCUAGGCUUAUAUUGCGCUCGCUAAUUCACUCAUGACUUUGUUUUAUACUUAUUCGAGAAUGCAGAAGAAUACAACAAAGAGACUUUGGUUUUUUAUAUGAUUUGGUAUAUAAUUUUUGUCUAACUUAUUCCUAUAUAUUUUUUCAGAAAAAGGGAUUGCAAGAUAAGAUACAAGUAUACAACUGAUUGGCCAUUGAUCUCAGUGAUAAGCUUGGUAGGAAGCGAAACUCAGCACUGCAAAUUGGGUGAUCGUUUAGCAUGCCACCUUUGUAGACUUGCUCAUCUUCUUCGUUUCCGUUUCCUCAAUCUUUCUCUCAUGCUCUAAUUGGAUUAGCAAUCGGAUGCUUGGAAACACAAGGUGGAUAUUAUUGAAUGUGCAUCUUUUCAAUCUCCUGCCUUAUCAAUUAAGGUACUGCACUUAAUCAAUUAACUUAGUUUCUUUUGUAGCUUAUAUUCCUCUUUGUUUAUGAAUUCAGUUUGUAUACAUGUGUUAUUAGUGAUUGACUACCAUCAUAUAUAUAUUUGUCGUUUUGAUCAAGUUUGUUGUGACUAAUUUGUACUGAAUGUUUUAUUUAUGAACUCAAGUUUUGAUCUUCAAUUAUUUUAUUAACUCGCAUUUGAUAUGACACUUUAUGAAUUUGUGUGAGACAGGUCAUGUACGUUGUUAAUUGACUUCUGAGAAAGAAAGCAACUACGCCCACUGAAGUUUGCAAUACUUGAAUUUGAUUCAACUUUUGAGAAAGAGAGCAACUAUGCCAACUGCUUGCAAUUCGUUUUUGUGAUAACAUUCAGUUGGAAGUAAGACAACAACCGUACUAUAAAGACAAGUUUGUAUCCUAAGAUGGUUUUUAGAACCCCCUGUAGCAUAUUUCUUAUGGAAGCAGUAUAGCCUUAUGGCAAUAUCAACAUUUUACAUUCCGAUUCAUUGAAUUCUCUAUGUUCUUGGAUACUUUGUGCUUAACAUUUGCCCUUUGUCAGUAUAGUCUUCAUUGCCAAAUUUUAUUAUUAAAACUAAAGUAUAUGGAUGUGUACAACUUUCAAAAAUUAUUAGGUGUUCUUCUAUAGUGCCAUUUGCCCUUUGUCAGUAUGGUUUCAUUGCCAAAUUUUAUUAAAAC
This 3445-nucleotide long non-coding RNA is filed under the name Aquilegia coerulea. RNAcentral describes it as "long non-coding RNA (ACOE_LNC001628)". The record is from RNAcentral. Lineage: Eukaryota; Viridiplantae; Streptophyta; Magnoliopsida; Ranunculales; Ranunculaceae.